UACGUAGGGGGUUAGCGUUGUCCGGAAUCAUUGGGCGUAAAGAGCGUGUAGGCGGCCCGGUAAGUCCGCUGUGAAAGUCGGGGGCUCAACCCUCGAAUGCCGGUGGAUACUGUCGGGCUAGAGUGCGGAAGAGGCGAGUGGAAUUCCUGGUGUAGCGGUGAAAUGCGCAGAUAUCAGGAGGAACACCGAUUGCGAAGGCAGCUCGCUGGGACGUUACUGACGCUGAGACGCGAAAGCGUGGGGAGCAAACAGG
Molecule: ribosomal RNA, 253 nt
Filed under: uncultured bacterium
Lineage: Bacteria
Description: partial 16S ribosomal RNA
Rfam family: Bacterial small subunit ribosomal RNA
Source: RNAcentral